UACGGAGGGUGCAAGCGUUACUCGGAAUCAUUGGGCGUAAAGCGCACGUAGGCGGUCUCUUAAGUCCGGCGUGAAAUCCUGGGGCUCAACCUCAGAUGGCCGUUGGAAACUAAGAGACUUGAGAAUGGAAGGGGUCAGUGGAAUUCCUGGUGUAGGAGUGAAAUCCGUAGAGAUCAGGAGGAACACCGGUGGCGAAGGCGACUGACUGGGCCAUUUCUGACGCUAAUGUGCAAAAGCGUGGGGAGCAAACAGG
Molecule: ribosomal RNA, 253 nt
Filed under: uncultured bacterium
Lineage: Bacteria
Description: partial 16S ribosomal RNA
Rfam family: Bacterial small subunit ribosomal RNA
Source: RNAcentral